Molecule: long non-coding RNA, 850 nt
Organism: Coffea eugenioides
Lineage: Eukaryota; Viridiplantae; Streptophyta; Magnoliopsida; Gentianales; Rubiaceae
Exons: 3
Source: RefSeq, a predicted model, not a curated record
CUUCCCACCCAUCCCAAAAAAGGGUAAAUUCUGACUAGAUAUCAUAUCAUAGCCACACUAAAAGUGUGUAAGCUCGGAUGAACACUGAAAUGGUCUGGUUACUCCGUAAUUUUCAUGAACUCUGGGGGUGUUUGUUGGUUGCAUGAUUUUUGGGCGGCUUGGGGAUAUGUGGGCGCAGACAGCCUCAUUGAAUCGGGUGCACACUCCUUCCUUUGCCUUCUCUCUCUCUUCCUUGCUCUUAAUUUCAAUCCUUGCUCUCUUCUAAUUACCACUUUCUUUCCUGCUCUUCUAAUUACCGGACCAAUUUCUCCCCUUCGCUUGCUUACACCUUGCAGCACAACUCAGGAAUCAAGUUAAUUCUUGAAAAAUUGAAACUUGCGGAAGAAAGGCAAAUGGAAGGAAGGGACUCACUUUGGUAUCUCUGAACAGAGUUAAGGCUUCUGGGAUCCCUUCUGAUGAGAAAGUGAAGUUUGCAUAUGCAAUCAACAUAAGAAAGCUAGUCAAGCCACCACUACCAGCAGGAUACUGGGGAAUUCUGACCAAGGCUGAAGACCAUGUCGAUCAACCGAUAUAUAAAACAGCAGAAUUGAUCAACAAGAGCAAAUACAAUGUAUCUGAUGAAUAUGUUCGAUCAUUUAUCGAUUUUCAGGAGCUAAAUUAUCAUGAAGGGACCACAGUAGGAGCAAAGGCGAGUGGAAUUACUGAUUGGAGACACUUAGGCCAUCCACAGUGGACUUUGGUUGGGGAGGUCCUGUUACAGUUUUUCCUCUGUCAAGAAACCUGCUUGGAAGCGUUGAGCCCCGUUUCUUUUUGCCCUAUUCUUCAGCAAAUGAAGGGGAAAAGGAUGGUU